RNAcentral lists this ribosomal RNA (385 nucleotides) under uncultured bacterium. RNAcentral describes it as "bacterial SSU rRNA". It matches the Rfam family "Bacterial small subunit ribosomal RNA", at positions 28 to 417 of the family's 1533-position model. The record is from RNAcentral.
GACGAACGCUGGCGGCGUGCUUAACACAUGCAAGUCGAGCGGUAAGGCCCUUUCGGGGGUACACGAGCGGCGAACGGGUGAGUAACACGUGGGUGACCUGCCCUCAGCUCUGGGAUAAGCCUGGGAAACCGGGUCUAUACUGGAUAUGACUCCAUGACGCAUGUUGUGGGGUGGAAAGCCUUGUGCGGCUGAGGAUGGGCCCGCGGCCUAUCAGCUUGUUGGUGGGGUGANGGCCUACCAAGGCGACGACGGGUAGCCGGCCUGAGAGGGCGACCGGCCACACUGGGACUGAGACACGGCCAGACUCCUACGGGAGCAGCAGUGGGGAAUCUUGCGCAAUGGGCGAAAGCCUGACGCAGCGACGCCGCGUGAGGGAUGACGGCCU